GCUUAUGGCCAUACCACCCUGCCUGUGCCUGAUCUCAUCUGAUCUCAGAAGCUAAGCAGGGUUGGGUCUGGUUAGUACAUGGAUGGGAGACUGCCUUGGAAUACCAGGUGCUGUAAGCU
Molecule: ribosomal RNA, 119 nt
Filed under: Sinocyclocheilus anshuiensis
Lineage: Eukaryota; Metazoa; Chordata; Actinopteri; Cypriniformes; Cyprinidae
Source: RNAcentral